RNAcentral lists this ribosomal RNA (267 nucleotides) under Staphylococcus aureus. RNAcentral's name for it is "partial 16S ribosomal RNA". It matches the Rfam family "Bacterial small subunit ribosomal RNA", at positions 1192 to 1457 of the family's 1533-position model. Lineage: Bacteria; Bacillati; Bacillota; Bacilli; Caryophanales; Staphylococcaceae. The record is from RNAcentral.
AUCAUGCCCCUUAUGAUUUGGGCUACACACGUGCUACAAUGUACAAUACAAAGGGCAGCGAAACCGCGAGGUCAAGCAAAUCCCAUAAAGUUGUUCUCAGUUCGGAUUGUAGUCUGCAACUCGACUACAUGAAGCUGGAAUCGCUAGUAAUCGUAGAUCAGCAUGCUACGGUGAAUACGUUCCCGGGUCUUGUACACACCGCCCGUCACACCACGAGAGUUUGUAACACCCGAAGCCGGUGGAGUAACCUUUUAGGAGCUAGCCGUC